This 30-nucleotide non-coding RNA is filed under the name Homo sapiens (human). The record is from RNAcentral. Lineage: Eukaryota; Metazoa; Chordata; Mammalia; Primates; Hominidae.
GCAGUGUCUAGGGGUGAAUGUUUAAAGCUA